Molecule: ribosomal RNA, 566 nt
Filed under: Orthosinus sp. CNCCOLVG00004334
Lineage: Eukaryota; Metazoa; Arthropoda; Insecta; Coleoptera; Curculionidae
Also listed under: 1 other name
Description: eukaryotic LSU rRNA
Rfam family: Eukaryotic large subunit ribosomal RNA
Source: RNAcentral
AGCCCUAAGCGGGUGGUAAACUCCAUCUAAGGCUAAAUAUGACCACGAGACCGAUAGCGAACAAGUACCGUGAGGGAAAGUUGAAAAGCACUUUGAAGAGAGAGUUCAAGAGUACGUGAAACCGUUUAGGGGUAAACCUGAGAAACCCGAAAGGUCGAAGGGAGAAAUUCAUUCGCGUUUCGCGAUCGGCGUNNNNNNCGAGUGCGACGGAGGACGUUCGCGCCCGUCCGCGCCGCGGGCCCGACGAACCGGCCGCGAACGCGUGCACUUUUCUCCUGGUAGGACGUCGCGAUCCGUUGGGCGUCGGUCUACGGCUGACGGUGGAGCCCGUGAGCUCGACUCGCGUCGUCGCUCACGGACCCGUCUGUUUCCCGGCCGACUCGCUCGACGGUACGCUAACGGUUUUAGGCCGCUCCCCUCCGGCGAGCGUCCGACCCGUGGCAAGCGCGCCAUUUGCGUCGGUGCGCGGACCUAGCGCCGCGCCCGACCUCUGGUGACUGUUGGCUACGGUGUUCUCGGACAGACCUUAUACCGAUCGGCGACGCUAUAGCUUUGGGUACUUUCAG